GAUGAACGCUGGCGGCGUGCCUAAUACAUGCAAGUCGAGCGAACAGACGAGGAGCUUGCUCCUCUGACGUUAGCGGCGGACGGGUGAGUAACACGUGGAUAACCUACCUAUAAGACUGGGAUAACUUCGGGAAACCGGAGCUAAUACCGGAUAAUAUAUUGAACCGCAUGGUUCAAUAGUGAAAGACGGUUUUGCUGUCACUUAUAGAUGGAUCCGCGCCGCAUUAGCUAGUUGGUAAGGUAACGGCUUACCAAGGCGACGAUGCGUAGCCGACCUGAGAGGGUGAUCGGCCACACUGGAACUGAGACACGGUCCAGACUCCUACGGGAGGCAGCAGUAGGGAAUCUUCCGCAAUGGGCGAAAGCUUGACGGAGCAGCGCCGCGUGAGUGAUGAAGGUCUUCGGAUCGUAAAACUCUGUUAUUAGGGAAGAACAAAUGUGUAAGUAACUAUGCACGUCUUGACGGUACCUAAUCAGAAAGCCACGGCUAACUACGUG
This 497-nucleotide ribosomal RNA is filed under the name uncultured bacterium. RNAcentral's name for it is "partial 16S ribosomal RNA". It matches the Rfam family "Bacterial small subunit ribosomal RNA", at positions 28 to 507 of the family's 1533-position model. The record is from RNAcentral.